GACGUAGGGCGCAAGCGUUGUCCGGAUUUAUUGGGCGUAAAGAGCUCGUAGGCGGUUUGUCGCGUCUGCUGUGAAAACCUGAGGCUCAACCUCGGGCUUGCAGUGGGUACGGGCAGACUAGAGUGCGGUAGGGGUGACUGGAAUUCCUGGUGUAGCGGUGGAAUGCGCAGAUAUCAGGAGGAACACCGAUGGCGAAGGCAGGUCACUGGGCCGCAACUGACGCUGAGGAGCGAAAGCAUGGGGAGCGAACAGG
RNAcentral lists this ribosomal RNA (253 nucleotides) under uncultured bacterium. RNAcentral describes it as "partial 16S ribosomal RNA". It matches the Rfam family "Bacterial small subunit ribosomal RNA", at positions 524 to 776 of the family's 1533-position model. The record is from RNAcentral.